ACGAACGCUGGCGGCGUGCUUAACACCUGCAAGUCGAACGGAAAGGCCCUGCUUUUGUGGGGUGCUCGAGUGGCGAACGGGUGAGUAACACGUGAGUAACCUGCCCUUGACUUUGGGAUAACUUCAGGAAACUGGGGCUAAUACCGGAUAGGAGCUCCUGCUGCAUGGUGGGGGUUGGAAAGUUUCGGCGGUUGGGGAUGGACUCGCGGCUUAUCAGCUUGUUGGUGGGGGAGUGGCUUACCAAGGCUUUGACGGGUAGCCGGCCUGAGAGGGUGACCGGCCACAUUGGGACUGAGAUACGGCCCAGACUCCUACGGGAGGCAGCAGUGGGGAAUAUUGCACAAUGGGCGGAAGCCUGAUGCAGCAACGCCGCGUGCGGGAUGACGGCCUUCGGGUUGUAAACCGCUUUCGCCUGUGACGAAGCGUGAGUGACGGUAAUGGGUAAAGAAGCACCGGCUAACUACGUG
Molecule: ribosomal RNA, 467 nt
Filed under: uncultured bacterium
Lineage: Bacteria
Description: partial 16S ribosomal RNA
Rfam family: Bacterial small subunit ribosomal RNA
Source: RNAcentral